GCCGGGAAAAGCGCAUUUUACUGAAAGGAAUGUUUUAUGAAAAGGGUUGUACUUCCUACAAUCCCUUAAAUAUGUUCCUUGUACACUAAUGCAACACCAAAUCUCAUUUUCUCAAUCGCCUGAAAGAUUCAAAGCCACUGUUUUUGAGAUUUCAUUAUUUGGGUUUAAAAUCCACAUUGAAUGACAGGACUGCUUCAUGCCAUUCGAUUUUUGUUUUCCUUCAGAAAUACCAAAUACAGGCGAUUUGGGCCCCCUCUAAUCUUGCUGUUUGUCCUUCAUUCUGGAAGAGAACCAUGGCACCAGGAAGGUGAUAGCAGUCUUUCACUAGGUCACAAUACUGACAGCAAAAGAAUUGGGAUCCACUCCUUUCAAAAUCGGGUAAUGCACUCUAUCAAGGUUCAGUCUAAAUCUGUCUACAGUGGGAGAAAAAAUCUGAAAAGCCAUAAAAAAAUGAAGACCAGGAAUUGGAAUAUGGUACAGACAAUUCUCAUUUUCUGUAACUCUGCAUUAUUCAAAUUUGACUCCCCUGCAGGCCAGGGUCAGAACCCCCUCAGUGAGGCUCUGGCUGUGGCAGGCAGCAGUAACACCAGUGAAGCUGUUCUCUCAUACUGAUAAAGGUUAUCACUACACUUUCCAAUCAUUAAUUCAGAUGUGCUGCUUGAUGCUGUCACUGUUAUUGCUUUUCAUACUUUACAGAUGAGUGAACUGAGGCACACCAAAGAAGUUACCGAUAGUGCCAUGGCAGUGAGCAGAAAAUGAGAUUCAAGUUUGAGGAUUUCCAUUCAACUUUUCUUACUAAAGCAUCUAGCACUCUUUCAUACUGAUAAAUACAGCCUAUUAAGUCUGCCUUCUAUGGGAAUAACUGUGAAAUCUACCUCUGAAGUUAAAUGUAGAUGAUCAUUCUGCUUUCAGCUUAUGUUGAGUAUGAGACAUGCUUCUUGGAGUCUUAAACUACAACAUUUAUAUUCAGAUAUUUCUACAAAGAAAAUUCAUUUAAACUCCGUGACAGAAUCAUGAAUUAUAACAGAUUUUCAAAAGAAUUCAUCUUGGACAGCAGGCAUUUAAACCCAGCAUAAAGAACUGAGUCUCUAAAGAGCCUAAACUCCAGAAAGUGUUUCUACUAAAAGCAACUGUUUACUUAGUCUAUGAGAAUGUUGUCAUGUUCACAACUGAUGAAAACCUGACCCUACCAGGGCUGUACCAGACUGCUGUGUCCCAGGCUGCCAGAGAGAUGGUAUGAAAAAAAAGCCAUCUCAGAAGCUUCCCAUGAAAGCCGCCCUCCGGCUCAACACCACGUCAUCACAUCUAUCCUGUGGCUCUGGCAGACCAGAAAUAAUAGACUGAGGCAUUGCGAGGAACUUGGAAUUCUACUCUUCCCCUUCCCUGACAUUUCCUCAUUUAAACCACAGAUCGAGUCUUCAGCUUAAAUCAACACCACACAGAAACCAAAAUAUUCCAGAGCUUUUAUCAUUUGAAAUGAUUUGCAAUCCUCCCCAGCACUCCUUUCCUGUACUUGCACACAGUCUAUAAAACUGAAGCCAACAUCUGUUCCUGUCCCAGGGGAUGCCAGAACAGAUGUUUUAUGUUGUACAAAUACAGCCCACCACCCUUUUAAUGAGAGGCCCAGUUAUGUUUCCUUAAGAUUAUGAGAAUCACCUAGGAGUACUUUGGUUAUUGCUAAGCCAUUCACCUAAGGUGAUAAUAAUUGAUUCCAACCGCAUGUCAAAGAAUGUGGCAUCCUUCUCAUUUCAAAAAGCGUGGGGUAGGAAGACAGGUUAUUUGGUUAGUUCUUUUCUUGCCCAGCUGUUUUAACUGCCCUUCCUCUAACAUCAAUUUGCUUUGUGAUGUAGGUGCCACCUAAAAAGCAGCUCCUUUGAGGGCUUCUGAUCAAGCAUCUGAGACCCUCACAGGAUUUACUUGUAGGCCAUAGCAGCAAUCUGCCUCAUAAGUCUAAUUUUGGAAGAAUGACUUUUUCUCCUAAUGCCAAAAAGAUGAACAUUUACACACAUACACACACACACAAAAUGUACAAAUUCUUAUCUGCUAAAGUGUUGAUACUGUUUACAGGCAAAAACCAGAUCAUCAAUAAUUAUGCCUUUUUAAAAGCUCCUAAAUCUUUAUGCUCUGAUAUUUCAAUCCAACAGCCGGUUUGGGGCUGCACUAAAUAGCAGGCGACACCUCUCCCUUGCUAUUCAUACUACUGCUCAGCUUGGGAGAAAUUCCCAGUUAAUAAUUAACAACCGGAGGUAGUCUGGGAACGGCAUUUACUAACACAGUCCAUUUGCUACUGAGCCGUACAAACAAUACCAAGUCAGCAUCCUCAAGGCUGCUCAAAAGGAGAUCUCUCAUCGAGAGAGCCUAAAUUAGCUCUGCUUAGUGCUUAGAUGAGUCUACCCAAGUUGGUUCAGAUUUUGUCCCUGCCAAUUUAUGCCUGAAGUUGAGCCUCUUAGCUGAAGAGACUAUAAAGGGUAAGAUCCUUCAGCGUUAGUUACAAAAAGUCUUACCUGCAGCUCACAGAGUACCUUGCACUUAGUAGAUGCUCAGUAAGAAUUGACCAAAUGAAUGAACCAAGGUAAUCCUCACCUUUUAGACAAGACUUUCUUAACUGCCAUUAAAUGGCAGUGACCACUGAUAAGAAACCAAAUUGAGCCAGAUGUGAUCUGGCGCAUAAACUUCCAGAUCCAAAUUGAUACCAGAUCUCGACUAAAAGAAGAAAUUUGAUGGGGCCUGAUAACCCUUUCCUCUUCCUGGCUGCCCACAAUAACUGCUAUGAAUUUCUAGCUGCCCAUUAAACUGUGGAUUUAUUUUCUAACAUUAAAAAAGAGCUAUUAGGCCUUUGAAAACAAGAAGGGAGGUCCUGGGGACAAUCAGAUUCACUGUGUAAAUACAGAGAAGACUGAGUUCUGAGGCUGCAAAAACAAAAAAAGGCAAGGAGUUUAGGGGAAUAAUAAUGAUGAUGAUGAUGAUGAUGAUAAUAAUAAUAAUAAUAUCUCAAGGAUUUGUGAUUUCUCCAUGCUGGAGUAUAUUAUGGUCUGUAUUACUAUGAAAAGAAUAAAAAUUCAU
This is a long non-coding RNA of Vombatus ursinus (common wombat), 3063 nucleotides long. RefSeq lists it as uncharacterized. NCBI's taxonomy places the organism in Eukaryota, Metazoa, Chordata, Mammalia, Diprotodontia, Vombatidae. The transcript has 3 exons. The record is from RefSeq and is a predicted model, not a curated record.